CGAAGGGGAAGAGAUGGUCGCUCCUCGGCUUCUGCUGUUGAGCAGGAGAAGUGAGGGGAGGAAAGUCCGAGCUCCACAGGGCAAGGUGGUCCGUAAUGCGGACGGCCCGUUGUGAAGCAGGCGCAGCCGCCACUUCACAGGGGGUAAGGAAAGUGCCACAGAAAAGAUACCGCCCUGUGGAAUAGGUGCAGUGGAACUAAUUUAUCUCGGGGACGGAUCGAACUGACGACGUCUCCGGGCAAAAUCAGCAAUGCUCUUAUUCCCAGGGUAAGGGUGAAAAGGUGAGGUAAGAGCUCACCAGUACCUCGAGUGAUCGGGGUAGCUUGGUAAACCCCGCCUGGAGCAAGACCAAAUAGGUCCCGCUUUCCCCCGUGGAAUGGCGGCUUCGCCUAUUCCACAGGGGGAGAAGAACGGCCCGUUCGAAUAGACUCCGUAAAAGGAGAAAGGCGGGACGGGUAAGGUCGCUUGAGGUCUUGAGCAAUCAGGAUCCUAGAUAAAUGGCCAUCAUCUCCAUCCGGCCCUGCCUGCCGGCAGGCAGGCACCGGCGGGAUGGGGACACAGAACUCGGCUUACGGUCCCCUUCGAAAA
This 588-nucleotide RNase P RNA is filed under the name Deltaproteobacteria bacterium RBG_16_50_11. Its description in RNAcentral is "RNase P RNA component class A". It matches the Rfam family "Bacterial RNase P class A". Rfam says of the family: Ribonuclease P (RNase P) is a ubiquitous endoribonuclease, found in archaea, bacteria and eukarya as well as chloroplasts and mitochondria. Its best characterised activity is the generation of mature 5'-ends of tRNAs by cleaving the 5'-leader elements of precursor-tRNAs. Cellular RNase Ps are ribonucleoproteins. The record is from RNAcentral. Lineage: Bacteria; Deltaproteobacteria.